UACGUAGGCAGCAAGCGUUGUUCGGAGUUACUGGGCGUAAAGAGUGCGUAGGCGGUGCCCUAAGUCUGUUGUGAAAUCUCCCGGCUUAACUGGGAGGGUGCGGUGGAAACUGGGGUGCUUGAGUGCGGGAGAGGUUAGCGGAAUUCCUGGUGUAGCGGUGAAAUGCGUAGAUAUCAGGAGGAACACCGGUGGUGUAGACGGCUGACUGGACCGCGACUGACGCUGAGGCACGAAAGCGUGGGUAGCAAACAGG
Molecule: ribosomal RNA, 253 nt
Filed under: uncultured bacterium
Lineage: Bacteria
Description: partial 16S ribosomal RNA
Rfam family: Bacterial small subunit ribosomal RNA
Source: RNAcentral